AUUGAACGCUGGCGGCAUGCUUACACAUGCAAGUCGAACGGUAACAGGUCUUCGGAUGCUGACGAGUGGCGAACGGGUGAGUAAUACAUCGGAACGUGCCCGAUCGUGGGGGAUAACGCAGCGAAAGCUGUGCUAAUACCGCAUACGAUCUACGGAUGAAAGCGGGGGAUCGCAAGACCUCGCGCGGACGGAGCGGCCGAUGGCAGAUUAGGUAGUUGGUGGGGUAAAGGCUCACCAAGCCUUCGAUCUGUAGCUGGUCUGAGAGGACGACCAGCCACACUGGGACUGAGACACGGCCCAGACUCCUACGGGAGGCAGCAGUGGGGAAUUUUGGACAAUGGGCGCAAGCCUGAUCCAGCCAUGCCGCGUGCAGGAUGAAGGCCUUCGGGUUGUAAACUGCUUUUGUACGGAACGAAAAGGUCUGCCUUAAUACGGCGGGCCCAUGACGGUACCGUAAGAAUAAGCACCGGCUAACUACGUG
This 481-nucleotide ribosomal RNA is filed under the name uncultured bacterium. RNAcentral's name for it is "bacterial SSU rRNA". It matches the Rfam family "Bacterial small subunit ribosomal RNA", at positions 30 to 507 of the family's 1533-position model. The record is from RNAcentral.